CCUACGGGAGGCAGCAGUGGGGGAUAUUGCACAAUGGGGGGAACCCUGAUGCAGCGACGCCGCGUGAGGGAAGACGGCCUUCGGGUUGUAAACCUCUGUCGCAGGGGACGAAGGAGAUGACGGUACCCUGUGAGGAAGCCACGGCUAACUACGUGCCAGCAGCCGCGGUAAUACGUAGGUGGCGAGCGUUGUCCGGAAUUACUGGGUGUAAAGGGAGCGUAGGCGGGAUAUUAAGUUGAAUGUAUAAACUACCGGCUUAACCGAUAGAAGCGUUCAAAACUGAUAUUCUUGAGUGAAGUAGAGGCAGGCGGAAUUCCUAGUGUAGCGGUGAAAUGCGUAGAUAUUAGGAGGAACACCAGUGGCGAAGGCGGCCUGCUGGGCUUUAACUGACGCUGAGGCUCGAAAGCGUGGGUAGCAAACAGGAUUAGAUACCCCAGUAGUC
RNAcentral lists this ribosomal RNA (442 nucleotides) under uncultured bacterium. RNAcentral describes it as "partial 16S ribosomal RNA". It matches the Rfam family "Bacterial small subunit ribosomal RNA", at positions 338 to 795 of the family's 1533-position model. The record is from RNAcentral.